This 489-nucleotide ribosomal RNA is filed under the name uncultured beta proteobacterium. Its description in RNAcentral is "bacterial SSU rRNA". It matches the Rfam family "Bacterial small subunit ribosomal RNA", at positions 30 to 509 of the family's 1533-position model. Lineage: Bacteria; Pseudomonadati; Pseudomonadota; Betaproteobacteria. The record is from RNAcentral.
AUUGAACGCUGGCGGAAUGCUUUACACAUGCAAGCCGAACGGCAGCACGGAGAGCUUGCUCUCUGGUGGCGAGUGGCGAACGGGUGAGUAAUAUAUCGGAACGUGUCAAUAAUGGGGGAUAACGAGUCGAAAGAUUCGCUAAUACCGCAUACGCCCUACGGGGGAAAGCAGGGGAUCGUAAGACCUUGCGUUAAUGGAGCGGCCGAUAUCUGAUUAGCUUGUUGGUGAGGUAAAGGCUCACCAAGGCGACGAUCAGUAGCUGGUUUGAGAGAACGACCAGCCACACUGGAACCGAGACACGGUCCAGACUCCUACGGGGGGCAGCAGUGGGGAAUUUUGGACAAUGGGGGCAACCCUGAUCCAGCCACUCCGCGUGAGUGAAGAAGGCCUUCGGGUUGUAAAGCUCUUUCGCGAGGGAAGAAAACUUAUGAUCGAAUAAAUCAUGAGGUUGACGGUACCUUGAUAAGAAGCACCGGCUAACUACGUGCC